Molecule: ribosomal RNA, 245 nt
Filed under: uncultured bacterium
Lineage: Bacteria
Description: partial 16S ribosomal RNA
Rfam family: Bacterial small subunit ribosomal RNA
Source: RNAcentral
AUACGUAGGGGGCUAGCGUUAUCCGGAUUUACUGGGCGUAAAGGGUGCGUAGGUGGUUCUUAAGUCAGGAGUGAAAGGCUACGGCUCAACCGUAGUAAGCCUUUGAAACUGGGAAACUUGAGUGCAGGAGAGGAGAGUGGAAUUCCUAGUGUAGCGGUGAAAUGCGUAGAUAUUAGGAGGAACACCAGUGGCGAAGGCGACUUGCUGGGCCGUAACUGACGCUGAGGCGCGAAAGCGUGGGGAGC